RNAcentral lists this long non-coding RNA (721 nucleotides) under Marmota monax (woodchuck). The record is from RNAcentral. Lineage: Eukaryota; Metazoa; Chordata; Mammalia; Rodentia; Sciuridae.
AUCAGGUUGCGGCUCCCAUAACCCAAUCCUUCCUCCUCUGAGCUCUCCUGCACUGUCUCACCCAGGAGCUUUCUGGGGACACCUCAUAUCUAAACCAUCGCACAAGUUAAAGUAGAUCAAAGUCGGGACAAACACCUCAAGGGCCACACGUGGUGAGAAUAUGACACAGUCAUUGGUUUAGAAGAGAAUAAAAAGGGGAAAGAGGAAGAAACAAGUAAGUUAUGAAACGUGAGGCUCUUGUUGGCUUUUUAAAGUAUCUCUGUAAACAAGUUGAGGAGCGAGAGCCAGCCUGUGAGUGGUCCCGCAGGCCUGCAGACUGGCUGGUGGACCUCGCCAGCUUCCUAGGCAAGAGUCUCACAUCGCAGGUGAAGAGCUUCAGCUUCCCAAUCUUGCCCUGGCUUUUCAGCUGACCCUCUUAAAUACAGGAGGGGCUCAGGGACUUGUAUCAAAAUGAAUCCCAAAGCUACCCAGAAGGAGACCACCCAUGUAGGAAGGGCAGGAAGGUGACCUCGGCUCCUGUGGUGGGUGUGUAGUCCUUCACGCUGUUCUCAUCACACUUGGACUUGCUGAAUGCCCUGUACGCUGAUCCAGAGCCCACGUCUCUCAGGCUGGCUUCUCCUCUCCCUCACGGGCUGACCACAGCACGCCACACUCAGCUGGAUUCUGGAAAGGAGUCCAGCGAAGCACACAACCUGUCGAGAUGGAGAACGUUGCCUUGCUU